GGCUGUGUAGUUCAACGGUAUUAGAAUUCACUGUAUUUCACAGUAAGAUCCCAGUUCGAUUCUGUGGCGCCGCCC
This is a non-coding RNA of Clohesyomyces aquaticus, 75 nucleotides long. The record is from the annotation of a GenBank genome assembly. NCBI's taxonomy places the organism in Eukaryota, Fungi, Ascomycota, Dothideomycetes, Pleosporales, Lindgomycetaceae.